UCGAGGGUUCUAAGUAGGGUAAAGAGAGAAUCUCCUCAUUCUCUCUAAUAAACCCCCCUCCUGCUGCCUCCUUCAUCUUCUCCGGCACCCUCCUCUCCCCUCUCCUUCUUGCGGCCCACCUACUCUUUUUUAAGUUUAGAUCUGAUCUUGAUGGGGCUUGGGGUUCUUUUGGGUUGUUUGGAUCCUCCAUUUUCCAUUUCGGGCUUUGUUUUCUCAUCUGGCCAACCCGCCUCCUCCUUCCUCCCUCCUCCUCCCUUUGGCCCACCACCCCUUCCACUUCCUCCGAUCACCACUGAAAUCCUUCCCAAGUUCUGUUAUAGCCUUUCUGGCUGCUGUUUCAUGGACCUGCUCGAACCUCCUUUUCCGAUCUGAGCUAUGCCAAGUCCGAGGGUUGCUAGAUUGUGGUUUUUCUUGUGCGAUUAGUAGAGGGCUUCGUUUCUGUGUGUGCUAGAGGUGGAGUCAUGAUCUGAAGUGAUGGACCUUUUGGGGUUUUUGGAUUGAGGUUCCGGAUCUUGAUGGAAAUCUCUAGGUCUUUUGGCUCUGGCGGUUACGGAUAUUUGGCUGAUCUGGGCUUUCGGCUCUCAUGGAGGCUUCCCCCUACUGAUAAUUUUUCGGAUUAACUGCCUUAUCCUCUUGAGUUAUCAUUUUAGGUGUUAUUGUUAGAUCUAUUUAUUUCAUUCAAAGGGAUUUAACUGAUUUAGGCAUCUUGCAUAUUUGAUGGCGAUUUACUCAGAUAUUGGAUGUCUUGCUAGUUAUUGUCUUUUGGGGAUAAUUUGGUCUCCUUUGUCAAUUGUCGGUGUUUGUUUGGCCGGAUUCUGGUGUCUGGUUGGAUAUGUGCUACUCCUUUUAUGCUUGCAGGCGUUCAUGGUGUUCGACGACUAUUUCGUUGCAGCAGUGAUUUUCCGGUGGCUGGUUUUCCUGUUCAAGACCUUUACCGGCUUUGGACGGUAGCUGCACUGGCCCAUCUUUGGCAGUGUGUAACUGUUCUUGGACAGCACAAUUGGGGACCACACAAAUUUGAAAUGUUGAUGCACACGGUGGUCCGAUUGUAGCACAUGUGUUUGGUGGCACUCAGUUUCCUAUGGCAAAGUGUUGCUGGUGUUGGGCUGAUGUAAGUGGGGUCCACGGUUGGCAAUUUGUGCCUUGUGGGCUGCCCCUCUUGGGCUGAUGCACUUACCUACUGAUGUAUUUCGCAGCUAGUCCAUUGUAAACAAAUGGGUCCCAGUGUGAUCCUUUUGUUUGCAGUAUAUUAUGUUUUGUUUCAAUUACAUAGCCUCAGGUUGUGAGGAAAAUGUAUUAAGGUUACAUAAUUUGUUUCCUAUUAUUUCUAGGUGUUUUAGCCCUCUUGGGAGAAGAGGACUAUGAUUUGAUCUUCAUUGUAAUAUCCAAAGGUUUUGGUUAUUUAAUAUACAAACAAAUUUAGCAAAAAAAUUAAAAUUUUGGAAAUAAUGUUUUAACGAGAACUGAAAUACAAUAUCUUAUUGAAUUAAUAGAUUUGCUCGUAAGCAAUGCUAAACUAUAAGUUUAUAUGGUUAAUGUAGCAACAUUUGCUUCAUUUCUUACAUAUAGGAUUACUUAUCUCUUGUUUAGCUUUCUUCUUUUACUUGGUCCUUUCAUAAAUCUAUAUUUAUAAGAACCAAAGCCAGUAUCCAAUACUCAAGUAGAACCUUGACUUAAAGAAAAUUUAUUUUAAUCAUGAACAAACCUGUAUACGUAACCAAAGAUUCACUAAGCUUCUUCUGGUUAGCCUCUGCAAGAUGCUUCUCACAGUUUCUUACAAAUGUCCAGGCUUAUUGCAGUGGAAGCAAACUCCUUUGUUAUCCGUAUCAGUAUUAGUAUUGUUCUUAUUAUCCUUUAUUUUUUUUCUUUUUAUUUACCUUCUUUGAAUCGUUCUUCUUUUUAGAAGAUCAUUUGGCCCCUACCAGUAAGACUUGGUCUUUUUUGGUUCGAAAGUGACUCUCAGCAUUUUUCAACAUGUUAAGCAAAUCAGCGAGACAAUCUAGCCCGUUCAUAUGAAAAAUUCACAAUAAUUGUGAGAAGGAGUCCGGGAGUGAGUGCAAGAUCAAAUCUUGGCUCACUCUCUAUCCAUGACAAAACCUGGUGUCCUAAUUAUCCAAUCAAAUUGAUCAUGUUAAGGAGUUUUUUCUAUACUGUAGUGCCUCGGUCAUUCUAGAAUUAGAAGAGCUCCUUAGAUAUCUUAUAUCUAUUAGUCCUACUUUCCUCACCAUCAACUACUUGAUGUGCAGGAAUAUAGUAAGAGCAUUCAUAGUUUCAUGUUGACGCUGAAGUUUGUUACUCAUGGAUGCAAGAAUGAUGAGCCAACUGUGCAUCAUCUUGCAACUUUUUAAAAGUAGCAAUCUUUUCCUCAAAGGCAUUGUCUGCAACCAUUGUAGGGAUAGGCAUAUUAAAGAAAUAAGAUAGUUUUUCAGUCGUGAGAACUAUUCUCAAUUUCCUUAACUAAUUCAUUUAAUUCAGUUCGAUUAAUUAGCAUCUAAUAUGCUCUGUAGUGAUAGUAAUUUAGACAUUGUAAAAUUUUAUAAAUGAACCUCACUUAUAUAGCUCGACAAAAUCUAAUUAGAGAUUUGCUAGCGAGAAUAAGAAUCCCAAUUUCAAAUGUAUAUAGUCUUGUGGUGACACAACAAACUAUAUAUAAAUAAAUAGGUAGACAACCAUUGCCAAUUACAUCAUCAUGUAACUACUUUUAUUUUGCCUCUUAGAUUAUUUUGAUCAAGUGGUGUCACAUCCGAAUCAAAAUUAUCCAAGUUAUGUGACACCCCUAAAUCCGGGUACUCCAUUCCCACAGGAAUUGGUGCUCACUAUCCAAAAUAAUCACAUCCAACUACCCAUAAUCUAGGAUAAAGACAUAAAUUAAAAAUCUUAAACAAUAAUCCUCCCCAUUAAAGAGUUACAGCAACUUAAAACAAAUUCCAGGUAAUCUAACCUUAAAUUAUUAUAUAAGUUUGCGGAAUACAUCAUAUAAUUAAAUAAGUCUUAUAACAUAGAUUCCAUUAAAUACAAUUAAACAAGUUUUCAUCAUUUGGACAUCUUGCCCUUGCCCUUGCUAAUAGACGACUUGUCAACUUUCUCAACUUUAGUUGCAAUGUAUAUGCAAGAGUGAGCAAACAAUUGCUCAAAAAUAUAAUGAUGACAAUAGAAAUAUCAUAGGAGUAAGCAAUGAAUACUGAAUAGUAAAGAAAUCGUUCUUUGAAUCAAGAUUAGAAAACAAGUUCGAGAUUUAUAUCUGAGGAUCUUAAGACCAUGAACUAUGUCCCAGAUUACUAAGUAUUUCUACCUCAACCUUUAAUAGUCAUUAGACUAUAAGGACCUUUCCUAUCGUAAUUAGGGGGAUCAACCCUUCAUACCAAGUAUUGUGAACAAACAUCUAAAUGCUAACGCGUAAAUAAUCCCCUAUAUUAGGGUUGUUCAUCUUAGUUUGACUUAAGAUUUCCGCACUAAAGAAAGUUUAGUUUGGAUUAGCUUAAUAAUGGUUCUAGAAUUUUAGAACGCUCAUCAACUAUGGACUAGUCAAUUCAAUAGAGGUUUUGUUGACUUAUGUCACACUCCAUGUUUUGAUGAUGACUCGAUUAUUUCUAAUCAAUGCUAUAUUAUUUCAGGGAAAGAUAUGGAACUUCAGAAAACGUCAAGGAAGAAGUUACAAAGCCAAGACAUCCUUGAAGAAAGAAAAGCAAAUUUGAGUCCUAGG
This 3703-nucleotide long non-coding RNA is filed under the name Panax ginseng (ginseng). RNAcentral describes it as "long non-coding RNA (PGIN_LNC000574)". The record is from RNAcentral. Lineage: Eukaryota; Viridiplantae; Streptophyta; Magnoliopsida; Apiales; Araliaceae.